RNAcentral lists this ribosomal RNA (282 nucleotides) under uncultured Lachnospiraceae bacterium. Its description in RNAcentral is "partial 16S ribosomal RNA". The stretch from base 44 to 282 matches the Rfam family "Bacterial small subunit ribosomal RNA", at positions 100 to 339 of the family's 1533-position model. Lineage: Bacteria; Bacillati; Bacillota; Clostridia; Lachnospirales; Lachnospiraceae. The record is from RNAcentral.
UUAUCUUUGAUCCUUCGGAUGAAGAGGUUUGUGACUGAGUGGCGGACGGGUGAGUAACGCGUGGGUAACCUGCCUCAUACAGGGGGAUAACAGUUAGAAAUGACUGCUAAUACCGCAUAAGACCACGGAGCCGCAUGGCUCAGUGGGAAAAACUCCGGUGGUAUGGGAUGGGCCCGCGUCUGAUUAGGCAGUUGGCGGGGUAACGGCCCACCAAACCGACGAUCAGUAGCCGGCCUGAGAGGGCGACCGGCCACAUUGGGACUGAGACGCGGCCCAGACUCC